Small nucleolar RNA from Arvicola amphibius (Eurasian water vole), 79 nucleotides. RefSeq annotates it as small nucleolar RNA SNORD115. The record is from RefSeq and is a predicted model, not a curated record. The transcript has a single exon. Lineage: Eukaryota; Metazoa; Chordata; Mammalia; Rodentia; Cricetidae.
GGGUCAAUGAUGACAAACCAAUGUCAUGAAGAGAGAUGAUGACAUAAAAUUCAAAUACAAGACGGUUGAGCUGAGGCCC